This 630-nucleotide ribosomal RNA is filed under the name uncultured Russulaceae. RNAcentral describes it as "LSU rRNA". It matches the Rfam family "Eukaryotic large subunit ribosomal RNA", at positions 47 to 649 of the family's 3401-position model. Lineage: Eukaryota; Fungi; Basidiomycota; Agaricomycetes; Russulales; Russulaceae. The record is from RNAcentral.
UAAGCGGAGGAAAAGAAACUAACAAGGAUUCCCCUAGUAACUGCGAGUGAAGCGGGAAAAGCUCAAACUUGGANUCUGGUGGUCUUUGGCCAUCCGAGUUGUAAUUUAGAGAAGCGUCUUCCGCGCUGGACCGUGCACAAGUCUCCUGGAAUGGAGCGUCAUAGAGGGUGAGAAUCCCGUCUUUGGCACGGAAUCCCAGGGCUUCUGUGAUGCGCUCUCGACGAGUCGAGUUGUUUGGGAAUGCAGCUCAAAAUGGGUGGUGAACUCCAUCUAAAGCUAAAUAUUGGCGAGAGACCGAUAGCGAACAAGUACCGUGAGGGAAAGAUGAAAAGCACUUUGGAAAGAGAGUGAAACAGUACGUGAAAUUGUUGAAAGGGAAACGCUUGAAGUCAGUCGCGUCGACCGAGACUCAGCCUUGCCUCGGCUUGGUGUACUUCUCGGCUUGACGGGUCAGCAUCGAUUUCGAUCCUCGGAUAAUGGCAAGGGAAAGGUAGCACCUUUUUAGGUGUGUUAUAGUCCUCUGUCGCAUGCGAGGGUCGGGAUCGAGGAACUCAGCACGCACCUCAGGGUGUCGGGGCCUUGGCCCACGUUUACGUGCUUAGGAUGCUGGCGUAAUGGCUUUAAACGACC